UACGUAGGGUGCGAGCGUUAAUCGGAUUUACUGGGCGUAAAGCGUGCGCAGGCGGCCCGUUAAGACAGGUGUGAAAUCCGACGGCUUAACCGGAGGACUGCACCUGAUACUGGGCUGCUAGAGGUAAGGAGAGGAAGGUGGAAUUCCCGGUGUAGCGGUGAAAUGCGUAGAGAUCAGGAGGAACACCGAUGGCGAAGGCAGCCCCCUGGGCCUGUACUGACGCUCAUGCACGAAAGCGUGGGGAGCAAACAGG
Molecule: ribosomal RNA, 253 nt
Filed under: uncultured microorganism
Description: partial 16S ribosomal RNA
Rfam family: Bacterial small subunit ribosomal RNA
Source: RNAcentral